This 496-nucleotide ribosomal RNA is filed under the name uncultured bacterium. RNAcentral describes it as "partial 16S ribosomal RNA". It matches the Rfam family "Bacterial small subunit ribosomal RNA", at positions 28 to 507 of the family's 1533-position model. The record is from RNAcentral.
GAUGAACGCUGGCGGCGUGCCUAAUACAUGCAAGUCGAGCGAACAGAUGAGGAGCUUGCUCCUCUGACGUUAGCGGCGGACGGGUGAGUAACACGUGGAUAACCUACCUAUAAGACUGGGAUAACUUCGGGAAACCGGAGCUAAUACCGGAUAAUAUAUUGAACCGCAUGGUUCAAUAGUGAAAGACGGUUUUGCUGUCACUUAUAGAUGGAUCCGCGCCGCAUUAGCUAGUUGGUAAGGUAACGGCUUACCAAGGCAACGAUGCGUAGCCGACCUGAGAGGGUGAUCGGCCACACUGGAACUGAGACACGGUCCAGACUCCACGGGAGGCAGCAGUAGGGAAUCUUCCGCAAUGGGCGAAAGCCUGACGGAGCAACGCCGCGUGAGUGAUGAAGGUCUUCGGAUCGUAAAACUCUGUUAUUAGGGAAGAACAAAUGUGUAAGUAACUAUGCACGUCUUGACGGUACCUAAUCAGAAAGCCACGGCUAACUACGUG